AUAUGCCAGUCCGUAUCGGCGAGGAUGCGGCCAUUGUCGUUGAGCCGUUCCCGGAUCGAGGCAGGCACGUCGGUGCCCGUG
This 81-nucleotide small RNA is filed under the name Sinorhizobium meliloti 2011. RNAcentral's name for it is "putative ncRNA". The record is from RNAcentral. Lineage: Bacteria; Pseudomonadati; Pseudomonadota; Alphaproteobacteria; Hyphomicrobiales; Rhizobiaceae.